Molecule: transfer RNA, 69 nt
Filed under: Dipodomys ordii (Ord's kangaroo rat)
Lineage: Eukaryota; Metazoa; Chordata; Mammalia; Rodentia; Heteromyidae
Rfam family: tRNA
About the family: Transfer RNA (tRNA) molecules are approximately 80 nucleotides in length. Their secondary structure includes four short double-helical elements and three loops (D, anti-codon, and T loops).
Source: Rfam by way of RNAcentral
GGGAAUGUGGCUUAUUGGUAGAGUGCUUGCCUAGCAUGCAUGAAGCCCUGGGUUUGAUUCCUUGUACCA